Molecule: ribosomal RNA, 456 nt
Filed under: Drosophila americana
Lineage: Eukaryota; Metazoa; Arthropoda; Insecta; Diptera; Drosophilidae
Also listed under: 1 other name
Description: partial 12S ribosomal RNA
Source: RNAcentral
UGUCAUUCUAGAUACACUUUCCAGUACAUCUACUAUGUUACGACUUAUCUUACCUUAAUAAUAAGAGCGACGGGCGAUGUGUACAUAUUUUAGAGCUAAAAUCAAAUUAUUAAUCUUUAUAAUUUUACUACCAAAUCCACCUUCAAAAAUUUUUUCAUAGUUUUAUCUGUUUAAAUAAAUUUAUUGUAACCCAUUAUUACUUAAAUAUAAGCUACACCUUGAUCUGAUAUACAUUUUAAUAAAAAUUAUUGAAUAUUAUUAUUCUUAUAAAAUAUUCUGAUAACGACGGUAUAUAAACUGAUUACAAACUUAAGUAAGGUCCAUCGUGGAUUAUCGAUUACAAAACAGGUUCCUCUGGAUAGACUAAAAUACCGCCAAAUUUUUUAAGUUUCAAGAACUUAUCUAUUACUACUUAAGUAUUAAUACUUACAUUUUAAAUAAUAGGGUAUCUAAUCC